GCAUCAUUCAUGACAUAUGCAGCAGGCAAAGCAAUCACAUCGUACUUGAAAGGCCUCGAAGACCGGUAUUUAACACGAGGGAGGAGUCUGUGUUUUGCAUGAUUGACUGACAGUGAGUGUAGUUUAGCUUCCUUUCUGGGAUUGUUGUGUACCAUCAAAACUGACUUAUUGACAUGUAACAUGCUAAGAAUUCAUGUGUAUGUUAUAGAAAAAUGCCAUUUGGUGGUAAUUGAUAGUGAAUUUUCGAUUUGCUCAUAUGACAUCAGCAAGUGAUUGAAUUGUGUCCACUAAUGGCGACGCAAAUGCUUUUGAUAGAGCAGUGGCCAUGUGAUCAUCCUUCACCUGCAGAAAUAUAGCAUUAAUCAAUCUUAGGGUUGGUUUAGAAUAAAGGGGAACGAAAAGGAUGAUUCACAAAGUACAACGAUUGACUUACAACUGGGAUU
This 443-nucleotide long non-coding RNA is filed under the name Linum usitatissimum (flax). Its description in RNAcentral is "long non-coding RNA (LUSI_LNC001618)". Lineage: Eukaryota; Viridiplantae; Streptophyta; Magnoliopsida; Malpighiales; Linaceae. The record is from RNAcentral.